RNAcentral lists this RNase P RNA (345 nucleotides) under human gut metagenome. RNAcentral's name for it is "Bacterial RNase P class B". It matches the Rfam family "Bacterial RNase P class B". From Rfam's summary of the family: Ribonuclease P (RNase P) is a ubiquitous endoribonuclease, found in archaea, bacteria and eukarya as well as chloroplasts and mitochondria. Its best characterised activity is the generation of mature 5'-ends of tRNAs by cleaving the 5'-leader elements of precursor-tRNAs. Cellular RNase Ps are ribonucleoproteins. The record is from RNAcentral.
UUACGCAAACGCUGCUGAUUUUAAUCAGUAGAGGAAAGUCCACGCUCACACGGCUCUGUGAUCGACCGUAGUGUUCAUGCGAAGGGAAAAAAUAACCUUCGGUAGGUAAAACCUAACGGCGCCGAAGUAACCUACAGUCUUUUUGAUAUGGUUAUGUUAGGCAUAAAGUGCCAUAGUGACGAUUUUUUUUGGAAACGAAAAAAGUGGAACGGGUAAACCCCAUGAGUGAGAAACCCAAAUUUGGUAGGGGAACUUUUGGAAAGGAAACGAACGGACCAAAAGAUGCAUAAGUUGCAUAGAUAAAUGUUUGCGAACCAAAUUUUUUGGUACAGAACGUGGCUUAUU